Molecule: ribosomal RNA, 301 nt
Filed under: uncultured bacterium
Lineage: Bacteria
Description: partial 16S ribosomal RNA
Rfam family: Bacterial small subunit ribosomal RNA
Source: RNAcentral
CAGUCGCCACGGUAAUACGAAGGGUGCAAGCGUUACUCGGAAUUACUGGGCGUAAAGCGUGCGUAGGUGGUGGUUUAAGUCCGUUGUGAAAGCCCUGGGCUCAACCUGGGAAUUGCAGUGGAUACUGGGUCACUAGAGUGUGGUAGAGGAUAGUGGAAUUUCCGGUGUAGCAGUGAAAUGCGUAGAGAUCGGAAGGAACAUCUGUGGCGAAGGCGGCCAUCUGGGACAACACUGACGCUGAGGCACGAAAGCGUGGGGAGCAAACAGGAUUAGAUACCCCGGUAGUCCCUGUCUCUUAUAC